GCACAUGCAGGGGUUGUGGGCUAGAUCCCCAGUAGGGCUUGCAGAAAGCAGCCGAUGAGUGAUUCUCCCUCAUCACUGAUGUUUCUAUCUCUCUCUCCCCCUCUCUUCCUCUCAGAAAUCAAUAAAAGUAUAUUU
Molecule: long non-coding RNA, 135 nt
Organism: Pipistrellus kuhlii (Kuhl's pipistrelle)
Lineage: Eukaryota; Metazoa; Chordata; Mammalia; Chiroptera; Vespertilionidae
Exons: 2
Source: RefSeq, a predicted model, not a curated record